GGGGUACUCGAGCGGCGAACGGGUGAGUAACACGUGAGUAAUCUGCCCCUGGCUUUGGGAUAGCCACCGGAAACGGUGAUUAAUACCGGAUAUGACCACUUGAUGCAUGUUGGGUGGUGGAAAGUUUUUCGGCCAGGGAUGUGCUCGCGGCCUAUCAGCUUGAUGGUGAGGUAAUGGCUCACCAUGGCUUCGACGGGUAGCCGGCCUGAGAGGGUGACCGGUCACACUGGGACUGAGACACGGCCCAGACUCCUACGGGAGGCAGCAGUGGGGAAUAUUGGACAAUGGGCGAAAGCCUGAUCCAGCAACGCCGCGUGAGGGAUGACGGCCUUCGGGUUGUAAACCUCUUUCGGUAGGGACGAAGCGCAAGUGACGGUACCUACUAAAGAAGCACCGGCCAACUACGUGCCAGCAGCCGCGGUAAUACGUAGGGUGCGAGCGUUGUCCGGAAUUAUUGGGCGUAAAGGGCUCGUAGGCGGUUUGUCGCGUCGGGAGUGAAAACCAGGUGCUUAACACCUGGCUUGCUUUCGAUACGGGCAGACUAGAGGUAUUCAGGGGAGAACGGAAUUCCUGGUGUAGCGGUGAAAUGCGCAGAUAUCAGGAGGAACACCGGUGGCGAAGGCGGUUCUCUGGGAAUAUCCUGACGCUGAGGAGCGAAAGUGUGGGGGAGCGAACAGGAUUAGAUACCC
This 689-nucleotide ribosomal RNA is filed under the name Nocardioides sp. Its description in RNAcentral is "bacterial SSU rRNA". It matches the Rfam family "Bacterial small subunit ribosomal RNA", at positions 84 to 787 of the family's 1533-position model. The record is from RNAcentral. Lineage: Bacteria; Bacillati; Actinomycetota; Actinomycetes; Propionibacteriales; Nocardioidaceae.